Molecule: non-coding RNA, 3371 nt
Organism: Oryctolagus cuniculus (rabbit)
Lineage: Eukaryota; Metazoa; Chordata; Mammalia; Lagomorpha; Leporidae
Source: RefSeq, a predicted model, not a curated record
UGAAGAGUUAAAAUUGUAUAUGUGCAGGUGUAAAAAGUUAAGCUUAAGCUUACAGGUUUAAACCUUGCUGGUACAGCUGUAAAAAAAUAAGACAGAGUAGCACCUUGGCAGUAGGGACUCCAUUUUGGAGCACUUGAGACUGCAUUCUGGGAAAGCACCCCCCACUGUGAGACUCUGGUCUGAAACUAUGAUCUCAAAUAGUCGGACAAUAGCAGUGCACUACAUCACCCUUGGCAAUGCACAAAAACCCCCUAGCAUGACUGCUCAAGCUUAAAAGUAGAAAGGUUGCACCUGGGUUACCUGGGCUAAUAAUAAAGAUGUGAUUUGUCUGUGUCUUACAUUAAUGUCAAGUCCUAAUUGCUGAUUGUAAUAUUGUAACUGGUAUUGUCAAGAUUAUGAUAAAUAUUAAUUUCAAUUAGGUUUUAGGUUAUGUUGACCCCAGUAACCAUAUACUCUUUUGAUUUUAUGUACUCUCUUUUGAUUUUAGCAACUGUGUAUAGCAACCGUGCAUAGCAACCGUGUAUUCCCCCCUUCCCGGUUUUGUGGUUUUUGCCUUUAUAAACCCUAACCUUUGGUUAUUCGGGGCUGCUCUGUUCAUGUAUGAUCAGACAGCCCCAGCAUGCUGGAUAAUCAAUAAAGCUUCCCCUUGCUGUUUGCAUAAGAGAUGUCUCUUGGUGACGUUUUUCGGGCAGUCGACUCUAACAUUUGGAGGCCCCAGCGAGAUCUGACUGCUGCCUGCGGACGUCUCCAACAGAUAUCUCUCGGGGUAAGUGCAGGCGCCUAUUUGUGUUGUCGGCCGGCUUAUUUGUGGUUUGUGUCUCUUCAUUCUGGAUUUUGGUAGUUUGUGAGCGCUCUAGGGUUUUGGGAACUGUGCUGGUGUAGUAGCUGCUGGGACAGGGCGUGAGCCCUUCCUGGCUGUGGCCGGCAGACGUGCCCGGGGGCCACAGGCUACGGCCCUGAGGGACGCCUCAGGAGGACAAAGGAAGGCUGGGGACGCCCAGAUACUUCCGACGGGGCAGGCGUGGAGUCUGCAUUCCCAGCACAGACGGGGUGGCCGGUAAGGCCUUCUUAUUAUUAGUCUUUUGUAGUUGUAAGGUGCUUUGUUGGUUGUCUUGUUGUUUGUUGAUUGUAUUCUCUUGUCAUUUAGCAUUGUAUGGGGCGCUGUGAUGGCUCCCGUUUGGUAGAUUUGGAAUCUGCAUUUGUAUUGCCAGCAUUGUCGCGUGACUCUGAAGUGGUUCUGGAGUCUGCAUUUGUAGGUUCUGAAGUGGUUCCGGAGCUUGCAUUUGUAUUACCGGCGUCCUCACAGGGCUCUGAGGCGGUUCCAGAGUCUGUGUUUGUAUUGCCAGCAUCGUCGUGACCAGUAGUUUAUCUCAGUUCCUCUACGGACACUUUGUGUGGUUGUUGUGUGCUGAUUCUCUACACUGUUUGUCUGUUCGUGUACAUUGUGUUGUCUGCUAACAUGGGCCAGACUGUGUCUACACCUUUGUCUCUAACUUUGAAUCAUUGGUCGGAGGUAAGCGACCGGGCACAUAACCUUUCUUUGUCAGUCAAGAAGGUAAAGUGGCAGUCUUUCUGUGCCUCUGAAUGGCCCCCCGGAGGGCUCUCCAUUUACCACUCAUUCGCCAAGUGAAAGAGGCCGUUCUCCUGCCUGGCCGUCAUGGGCACCCAGACCGGGAUUUUGAGAAAACAUCGGAGAAGGGAAGUUACUACUGUUCUGCAGGACUCUCCACUGUGACGUACGGUUUGAUCCCCAGACCUUAUUUAAGGGAUGACUGACCUUUUCUGUAAUAAUGCCUGGCCAUAGUAUAGGGCCCCAAACAACAUAAAAAAAAAAGGGGGGGGGGUUAAACUACUAGAUCAAUUUUUCAGUGUACGCGUUAAAUGGGCAGAACUCCCCUUUUAAACCAAACUAAAAAAUAGAUAAAAAGUUAAACUGAGGACCUCAAAGUAUGCAAGCAGGUCACCACAGUUGAUCUUACCUAAAGGGUCAUAGUUCUCCUCAUGGGCACAGUCUUAACUCGCAGGAAAAUACUAAGUGUCAGAAUUUGCCCAUGACCAUAAUUUUUCUAGCUCACCCUGAUAUUUAAAAAAAAUCUCCAAAAAUCAGGGAUGGGUUGAGCACCCCCUUGACUGACAUCAUAGAGGCUGCCUCCUUGUCUACUUUAUUAGAGACCAGAAAAAUGAGGAGCAAGCUAGCAAGGAUAGGCAACAGACCAAUCAAUGGCUGCUUUACACGGUGAUUGCCAUCAAGGAGACCCAGCAAGGCCAGUGCACCCCAAAUGGCACCUGUUGCUAAUAUGAGGAGCCAGGGCACUGGGCAAGCAGCUGUCGUGACAGCAAAUGCCUUCUGUUAGCCUUGCCAAGAGCACGGCCACUGGACACGGAACUGCCCUGGGUGUCGAAGGACUCCUGGUUCAGAACUACAGACCCUGUGGCCCCGAGCUAAAAAGCCUUUGGCUCUGCCCAGCCUCUGCCCAGCUUCCAGCUCCAGCCACUGCUACUGGGGAUGGCUUAGGGUCAGUAAAAUGUAAGUUGCCUAUUUCUAUCAGCCUCCUAUUUAACUCUCCUAGUCCAGCCAUGUAAUGCGAGUCAACAGGGUGCCUCCCUUAAAGGAGAUUUGCAUCUCUUAACAAUUUUCUUAACAGCACCCCAUGGAUAGGUCUGGGCCUCACACACCCUGCCAGGCCUUAAAAGCCUAUCCAAUAGUAUUAAACUUAAAAAGCCCUCCCUGCCAGUUCCAGGGGAAAGUGGUCCCCUCCACUCCUGUACUGAGACUAUAGAUGCUUCUCUUUACACCGUGUGUUUUUAAUGCCCUUAUUUGUUUUGUCUCUAACAGACUAAAAGCUGCUAACUCCAAAUGGUCAUCAGGCAAGACUUCCAGCCCAUUCCACUGGACUACCUGAGCAGCCCUCUGGACCGAGCAGUACAGUCUUUCCAAGGCCACUGUUGCACACCAUAAGACAGGUAGCAAGAGGAAAUACCCAAAUCCCCCUCGACGCCCACAUGCCAGCUUCGAAGAAGUUACAGAAAACAGAACUCCAUCCAUAAUCCCAAAGAAGAAUUUUGGGUAUUACCUCUUGAGGGAAAAAUAUUAGGCAGAAAGUCAGUUAUGAGCUUAUGUGUGUGUGACAUAAAGGCCUAAUGUGUCCAGCAUAUGCAUCUACAUCUCAGUCAUCCUGACAAUGUUUCACGGGCAGCCUGGCCUUUGCAUCCUGCCCUGCCCCCUUCUACCUGAUAACCUGCCAGGUGGAGAUGCCCGCCCCUUCUGCCUGACAAAUCUUCCACAAUCUCCCAGAUGCAGCCCAGUAUCUGCAUUUCAGUAUUACAGAACAGGCGGGGGUUAAAUCUCAUUUUCAUGGGGGUGGGUUAUG